UGUGGCUCAGUGGUACAGCACUUGCCUAGCAAGCAUGAGGCACUGGGUUUGAUCCCCGGCA
Molecule: transfer RNA, 61 nt
Filed under: Ictidomys tridecemlineatus (thirteen-lined ground squirrel)
Lineage: Eukaryota; Metazoa; Chordata; Mammalia; Rodentia; Sciuridae
Description: Spermophilus tridecemlineatus (thirteen-lined ground squirrel) tRNA
Rfam family: tRNA
About the family: Transfer RNA (tRNA) molecules are approximately 80 nucleotides in length. Their secondary structure includes four short double-helical elements and three loops (D, anti-codon, and T loops).
Source: Rfam by way of RNAcentral